This is an RNA transcript of Clupea harengus (Atlantic herring), 872 nucleotides long. RefSeq lists it as uncharacterized. The transcript has 5 exons. The record is from RefSeq and is a predicted model, not a curated record. Lineage: Eukaryota; Metazoa; Chordata; Actinopteri; Clupeiformes; Clupeidae.
CUCUCGGUUGGUUUCUGUUUGGCUGGUAUUGUUGCCAUAGGAGACAGUCCAUGUAGAACCCUUUCCAGGCCCGACUGCUACAAGAACAGCACAAAAGCAGACGAGGAUUUUAGAUGUGAGUGGACUUCAGAGGAGGACACGAGAGGACUUUCAUAUACACUUCACCUGAGGAAAGAAACAGAAAAUGAUACUAAAGAUUUUCCUGUUGGUGAGGAGAAGGGCGUUAUUCUGGAACUGGAGCGUGUGAGUACCUGGAUAGACAUUCUCCUGCAUGUCUGGGUGUCUGCUCAAUGGGCCAACAGUAGCUGCUCCUCCACUAUCAGCACAGUACGACUUGACCAGGCAGUUAAAUAUCCAGCGCCUGAGGUAAGAAUGAGAUCGAGAUCCUCUGGACUGCUGUUCCUGGAGUGGGACAAGCCUGAAGACCGCAGGGGGUCCGACUAUGAAGUCAGAUAUAAGGAGACUGGACACCCUAGCAGCACCUGGUCAUGUAAAAACUUUACAACAGAAGAUGACAAACCAGAUUCCUUAAACAUGAGCGUGGCGAGGGAAGCUGCCUACAAGCUCCAGGCCCGACGCAGGGCUAAGGAGGUCAGAUACGCAGAAUGGAGUGGUUGGAGCUCACCAAUCUACAUGCCUUUACGUGAGUCUGCCCAACAACAAUAAUAAUUUGAAUUUGAAGAGGGCAAAAUAACAUAAUAAUAAUUUGAAUUGUUUAAAAUUCUCAUUUUAAUUUGAAUAACCUUGUUUGAAGAGAACCUUUAAUGCAGCAGAGACCACAGUUUGAUGAGAAAGUACACUGAAUGAUUGUAUUUUAAAAGAUAACAGAAAGAUAAAAGAAAAGAUAACAGAAAGAUAACAUAAGCACUUCC